UACGUAGGGGGCAAGCGUUGUCCGGAAUUAUUGGGCGUAAAGAGCUCGUAGGCGGUCUGUCACGUCGGCUGUGAAAUCCCGAGGCUCAACCUCGGGUCUGCAGUCGAUACGGGCAAACUAGAGUAUUGCAGGGGAGACUGGAAUUCCUUGUGUAGCGGUGAAAUGCGCCGAUAUCAGGAGGAACACCGGUGGCGAAGGCGGGUCUCUGGGCAAUAACUGACGCUGAGGAGCGAAAGCGUGGGGAGCGAACAGG
Molecule: ribosomal RNA, 253 nt
Filed under: uncultured bacterium
Lineage: Bacteria
Description: partial 16S ribosomal RNA
Rfam family: Bacterial small subunit ribosomal RNA
Source: RNAcentral